Molecule: long non-coding RNA, 905 nt
Filed under: Phoenix dactylifera (date palm)
Lineage: Eukaryota; Viridiplantae; Streptophyta; Magnoliopsida; Arecales; Arecaceae
Description: long non-coding RNA (PDAC_LNC001900)
Source: RNAcentral
AAGAUAAUAUUUCAUUCAUUGCAUGCCAAAUUAUUGCAAGAAUAUGAAUUAUGUGACUCAAGACAAUACUGUUAAGGCAAGAUAAUGAGUAUAGGUCAGAGCCAAUUAAUAUAGUUUUAAAAUUAUGAUUGGAUCGCAUCAAAAUCAAGGAUGAAAAGUUUGGCUUUAAAAAUGAGACAUUUAAGAUGUGAGCCAGAAAAAUCCUAAAUAUAGAUUCCAAAGAUAGUUUUUAAAUUAAGUGUAAAUAGAAUUUUUUUUAAGUUAUUUCAAGGAGUAUCGAGAAUGAUAUUCAAUGAAAGCACGAAUGAAAAUCCAACCUCUUUUUUUUUUAAAGAUCUUUAAUAGCAUAUGAAAGUUUUUUCAUAAUUUUUUUUAUUAUAUUAAGUAUAUAGCAAUAUGAGAGCAAUCUAAUUAAUUUUCAGAGUAUAGUAUAAAAACAGAUAAAGAUCAAAACUUAUAUACUCGAAAAAUAUAAGAUCGUGUUAAAUCAUUAAUUCUUAAUAACUUAAAAAAAUAAUUAGGGCACAAAUAUCAAAACAUGAAUUUCAUGCAAUUUAUGAUACAUCUUAGAGCAUAUAUAAAGUCCAAAGCUUUGAAAGUUCUUUUAGAGCUCUUUUAAAGACUUUCUUUUACUCCUUUAAAGAUAUAGCAUCAAAAUCAAUUAAAAUAAAUUGGUUCAGGAUUGAAAUACCAAAGUGCAACCCAAUAAGAACUCAUAAGUAGAUCCAAGAUAAAUUUUUGAUACUAAGACAAAUGGAGUCAUUUUCAAUUAAUUUUCAGAAACAAAUGAUUUACCGUUGAAUAUAGAUGGAAAUACAACUUUCAAAAGAUAUUCAAUGAAGCACAAAGUUUAAUACAACUUUACAUUUAGUAUUCUUUCUCUCAUCUUUAGUUGUGAAUUUACA